GACGAACGCUGGCGGCGUGCUUAACACAUGCAAGUCGAACGGAAAGGCCCUGCUUUUGUGGGGUGCUCGAGUGGCGAACGGGUGAGUAACACGUGAGUAACCUGCCCUUGACUUUGGGAUAACUUCAGGAAACUGGGGCUAAUACCGGAUAGGAGCUCCUGCUGCAUGGUGGGGGUUGGAAAGUUUCGGCGGUUGGGGAUGGACUCGCGGCUUAUCAGCUUGUUGGUGGGGUAGUGGCUUACCAAGGCUUUGACGGGUAGCCGGCCUGAGAGGGUGACCGGCCACAUUGGGACUGAGAUACGGCCCAGACUCCUACGGGAGGCAGCAGUGGGGAAUAUUGCACAAUGGGCGGAAGCAUGAUGCAGCAACGCAGCGUGCGGGAUGACGGCCUUCGGGUUGUAAACCGCUUUCGCAUGUGACGAAGCGUGAGUGACGGUAAUGGGUAAAGAAGCACCGGCUAACUACGUG
RNAcentral lists this ribosomal RNA (468 nucleotides) under uncultured bacterium. RNAcentral describes it as "partial 16S ribosomal RNA". It matches the Rfam family "Bacterial small subunit ribosomal RNA", at positions 28 to 507 of the family's 1533-position model. The record is from RNAcentral.